CACUUUAAACCAAAAGAUAUACUCUAAACAAUAGAUCUAUUGUAUUAAAAAAAAUCCAAUUCAAUGUUAAGCAAUAUAUUGAUAGUUCAAUUGGCAUAAAAAAACAAGUAUCACGGAUUAUACAUAAACAAAUGAAGAAAGUUAGUGAAGGAAUAAUAUUAAUUAAUAAUACACACAAAAUACAAAAAUUAGCCCAAGUUUGAAAAAGGAAUUAGUGGAGAAAUACUAUCACAAUGAUUAUACACUAACAAUUGAAGUGCUGCUGCAAUGCAUUAUUGGUGUUUUGGAGUUCGCCAUUGAUGUUCUUGGAUUUAUCCUUGAAGAAGAUGAAGAACACAUCACUUUCUCUCUCUUCUUUGAACCACGAGUCAUGAAUUCAAGGAGUAAAUAUUACUAGCAUAGGCAAGAUCGAGAGAAAGGAAUGGAAGAAUGCAAGAUGAAUAUGGAAAAUCAGAGAAAGAGAUAGAGGAAAACCAGUGAAGGAAAAAGAGAGUGAAUAUCGGCUGGAAAAGAGGGAAAAAAUGAAAAACCAAUAAACCCUACACCUACAGAAGAUUCCAGAAAAAAAAAAGAAAAGAAAAAAAAAACUAUGUAACUUCCGGGUUUUCGGGUACCCGUCUGCUAUAUAGAUCGGCCCAUGACCCGACCCGGGAGUUGCACAGAUUUCUCGAGUCGAGUACCGCAAAAUGAUUUUUAAAAAAAAAUACCCGAGCAAUUUACUCCGGGUCGUCGGGUCAUUGGGUCGGGUCAGUCGGGUCGAGUAUUUUUGAACACCCCUAUUUUCUGUAACUUUAAAAUGUGGGAUUGUUUAGGGAAGAUAGAGCAAAGGUGGGAUUAUUAGUUUUCAUUUUCCUUUAAUAUUAAGGCUUAGUUUCAAUAGGCGAGUUAAUAUAUAAAUGGUUAAAUCAAAAUUCAAGAGAUGCGAUUUAAUACCGAUAGAUUAAUUAUGUGAUUAUAAUGUGUAGCGAAAGCCCUCAAGUGCACCUCACACUUUCCCUUUUUUCUAAGCCCUCUCUUCUAAGCCCUCACACUUUCUCUCUCUUCCAAGCUUCCCUUCUUCCAUUUUCUCUCUCUUCAAAAUUGCUUCAAUUAUUCUUCUAUGGCGAGAACUCGAGGUGGUGGUACAUUUAACCGAAGAAGAGGCCUUCGUUCUUCAUCUACUAAAGUAGAUCGACCACUACUUUCAGCGCUUUAAGAAUCGAGGUUUUGUUGGUUGGCUUUGGGAGCUAUUGUUAAUUGAUGAAUUGUCACUUGCCUCCUCACCAAAUUGUCUCUUGAGUACCAUCUCUACAACCAGAUUAACUAGAGAAAAAUCAAUAGCAGGUUACUAACCAAAAUAUGCUAAUAGUAGCAUGUUUUACAGAGUACGAGGCAAUAAUCAACCACUAUGAAAGCGCGUAGAAGCUUCGCUAUAAUACAGAAGUUUCAUAUCUAAAACUAAUAUGCCUCUGUAAAGUCUAUACUAAAGAUACACAUGUUUGAUACUACAAUAAACAAAACGGGAAGCCCAAGAUCGACAAUCCACCAUGGAAAUUUUAGCUUACAUUGUUCUCAUUCAUAGGCCUUAAUAAUUUCAUGAUUAAAUUAUAAGCCAAUUAUGCAUAUAGGUGAUGAAUUCUUGGUAUAAAUUCUUGUCAUGUAGCAACUCUUUUUAAUGAAAGUGUUUAUUUACUCCUUA
Molecule: long non-coding RNA, 1678 nt
Organism: Chenopodium quinoa (quinoa)
Lineage: Eukaryota; Viridiplantae; Streptophyta; Magnoliopsida; Caryophyllales; Amaranthaceae
Exons: 2
Source: RefSeq, a predicted model, not a curated record